Cavia porcellus (domestic guinea pig) is the source of this 137-nucleotide small nucleolar RNA. The record is from Ensembl. NCBI's taxonomy places the organism in Eukaryota, Metazoa, Chordata, Mammalia, Rodentia, Caviidae.
CUAGCCCUAAAUCAAGGCUGGCAACUUCCUGAUGCUGUUGGUUUCAAGCAAGAGCUUAAAGAGAUGUCUUUCUACGGUCUGUUGGCCAUUUCAGAACUUGGGCAAUGAAAUGGUCAGUUCACUAGAAAGAAACAGCU